UAGCAGGGGGUGCAAGCGUUGUUCGGAAGUUAUUGGGACGUAAAGGGCGCGUAGGCGGUGCGGUAAGUCUUUUGUGAAAUCUCCGGGCUCAACUCGGAGUCUGCAGGAGAAACUGCCGUGCUUGAGUAUGGGAGAGGUAGAGUGGAAUUCCUGGUGUAGCGGUAGAAAUGCGUAGAUAUCAGGAGGAACACCUGUGGCGAAAGCGGCUCACUGGACCAUUACUGACGCUGGAUGCGCGAAAGCUAGGGGAGCAAACAGG
This 259-nucleotide ribosomal RNA is filed under the name uncultured bacterium. RNAcentral describes it as "partial 16S ribosomal RNA". It matches the Rfam family "Bacterial small subunit ribosomal RNA", at positions 523 to 776 of the family's 1533-position model. The record is from RNAcentral.